This 573-nucleotide ribosomal RNA is filed under the name uncultured bacterium. RNAcentral's name for it is "partial 16S ribosomal RNA". It matches the Rfam family "Bacterial small subunit ribosomal RNA", at positions 355 to 919 of the family's 1533-position model. The record is from RNAcentral.
UGGGGAAUUUUGGACAAUGGGCGAAAGCCUGAUCCAGCAAUGCCGCGUGUGUGAAGAAGGCCUUCGGGUUGUAAAGCACUUUUGUCCGGAAAGAAAUCCUUGGCUCUAAUACAGUCGGGGGAUGACGGUACCGGAAGAAUAAGCACCGGCUAACUACGUGCCAGCAGCCGCGGUAAUACGUAGGGUGCAAGCGUUAAUCGGAAUUACUGGGCGUAAAGCGUGCGCAGGCGGUUUGCUAAGACCGAUGUGAAAUCCCCGGGCGUCACCUAGGGAACUGCAUUGGUGAUCUGGCAAGCUAGAGUAUGGCAGAGGGGGGUAGAAUUCCACGUGUAGCAGUGAAAUGCGUAGAGAUGUGGAGGAAUACCGAUGGCGAAGGCAGCCCCCUGGGCCAAUACUGACGCUCAUGCACGAAAGCGUGGGGAGCAAACAGGAUUAGAUACCCUGGUAGUCCACGCCCUAAACGAUGUCAACUAGUUGUUGGGGAUUCAUUUCCUUAGUAACGUAGCUAACGCGUGAAGUUGACCGCCUGGGGAGUACGGUCGCAAGAUUAAAACUUAAAUGAAUUGACGGGGU